This 253-nucleotide ribosomal RNA is filed under the name uncultured bacterium. RNAcentral describes it as "partial 16S ribosomal RNA". It matches the Rfam family "Bacterial small subunit ribosomal RNA", at positions 524 to 776 of the family's 1533-position model. The record is from RNAcentral.
UACGAAGGGGGCUAGCGUUGCUCGGCAUUACUGGGCGUAAAGGGCGCGUAGGCGGGUGUUUAAGUCAGGGGUCAAAUCCCAGGGCUCAACCCUGGAACUGCCUUUGAUACUGGGCACCUAGAGUUCGGGAGAGGUGUGUGGAACUCCGAGUGUAGAGGUGAAAUUCGUAGAUAUUCGGAAGAACACCAGUGGCGAAGGCGACACACUGGCCCGAUACUGACGCUGAGGCGCGAAAGCGUGGGGAGCAAACAGG